RNAcentral lists this ribosomal RNA (498 nucleotides) under Streptomyces gulbargensis. Its description in RNAcentral is "bacterial SSU rRNA". It matches the Rfam family "Bacterial small subunit ribosomal RNA", at positions 379 to 887 of the family's 1533-position model. The record is from RNAcentral. Lineage: Bacteria; Bacillati; Actinomycetota; Actinomycetes; Kitasatosporales; Streptomycetaceae.
AAGCCUGAUGCAGCGACGCCGCGUGAGGGAUGACGGCCUUCGGGUUGUAAACCUCUUUCAGCAGGGAAGAAGCGAAAGUGACGGUACCUGCAGAAGAAGCGCCGGCUAACUACGUGCCAGCAGCCGCGGUAAUACGUAGGGCGCAAGCGUUGUCCGGAAUUAUUGGGCGUAAAGAGCUCGUAGGCGGCUUGUCACGUCGGGUGUGAAAGCCCGGGGCUUAACCCCGGGUCUGCAUCCGAUACGGGCAGGCUAGAGUGUGGUAGGGGAGAUCGGAAUUCCUGGUGUAGCGGUGAAAUGCGCAGAUAUCAGGAGGAACACCGGUGGCGAAGGCGGAUCUCUGGGCCAUUACUGACGCUGAGGAGCGAAAGCGUGGGGAGCGAACAGGAUUAGAUACCCUGGUAGUCCACGCCGUAAACGUUGGGAACUAGGUGUUGGCGACAUUCCACGUCGUCGGUGCCGCAGCUAACGCAUUAAGUUCCCCGCCUGGGGAGUACGGCC